AAAAACUGUGUGUGAGGAGGGAAAAAAAGGGAAAUCUCCUGUACUUGACACCUUAAUUGUUGUUUGUUGUUGCAUUUGUUUGUUGGUUGAUUUUUAAGACAGACUUUCGCCACGUAAUCCUGGUUUGUCUGUACCUCGCUAUGUAGACCGAGCUUGCCUCGACAGCAAAGAUCCACCUGUCUCUGCCUUCCAGAGUCCCGGGAUCAAAGAGUGCUGUUGGUGGAGUUCUUUCCCUGAGAAGACUGUAAACAAACACCCUCCUUUUAGGGCUCCAACCACAGAGUAUGAUUCCGCUAAAGUUCAUCUUGGACAACCUGUAGGAUUGCUGGACUUAACAUGCAACAUGGGUGAGGGGUUACUGACGGGAGCGUGGGCGACCCGGAGCAGACACAUACCCUUGGUGGAUGGAGAUCUCCUCCCAGCUGUACAAAUGGAGUCCCCCGUUCAGUUAGGAGUCUACGCUUCAUACACCCUAGCACUGUAAGACCACAAGGCCACAGGAAAUGGGGUCUAGAAGAAAGCAGCUGGAAUCUCAAGUCUGAUCUGUGAACAUCUCUGUGACAAGGAACUAAAGCCACCUCUAAGCAGGAUAUCCAAAGUACACACCAUCCUCAAGAUGAAAACAGUUGUCAAAAAGCUAAAAGGAAGUCUACUCUGUGGCCUAACUAUACUGCUCUUUAGCAUAUAACCCAAAAGACUUGACAUCUGUCUCCACAGACACUUGUGCAGCCAUGUUCACUGUUUCCAUGUUUACAAAAGCAAGGAAAUGGAAAAAACUGAAAGAUCUUGAACCAAUAAUGAAUGAAUAAUGGAAAUGUGGCUUGUGUACACUAUGAAAUACUAU
Molecule: long non-coding RNA, 844 nt
Organism: Meriones unguiculatus (Mongolian gerbil)
Lineage: Eukaryota; Metazoa; Chordata; Mammalia; Rodentia; Muridae
Exons: 3
Source: RefSeq, a predicted model, not a curated record